GUAGUCCACGCUGUAAACGAUGAAAACUAGAUGUUGGUCAGCAUGACUGAUGAGUAUCGAAGCUAACGCGAUAAGUUUUCCGCCUGGGGAGUACGGCCGCAAGGUUAAAACUCAAAGGAAUUGACGGGGGCCCGCACAAGCGGUGGAGCAUGUGGUUUAAUUCGACGCAACGCGAAGAACCUUACCUACCCUUGACAUCCUAGGAAUCUUACAGAGAUGUAGGAGUGCCGAAAGGAACCUAGAGACAGGUGCUGCAUGGCUGUCGUCAGCUCGUGUUGUGAGAUGUUGGGUUAAGUCCCGUAACGAGCGCAACCCUUGUCCUUAGUUACCAGCACGUAAAGGUGGGGACUCUAAGGAGACUGCCGGUGAAGAACCGGA
This 378-nucleotide ribosomal RNA is filed under the name uncultured bacterium. RNAcentral describes it as "bacterial SSU rRNA". It matches the Rfam family "Bacterial small subunit ribosomal RNA", at positions 790 to 1167 of the family's 1533-position model. The record is from RNAcentral.